UACCAGCACCCCGAGUGGUCGGGACGAUUAUUGGGCCUAAAGCAUCCGUAGCCGGUCCUACAAGUCUUCCGUUAAAUCCGCCUGCUUAACAGAUGGGCUGCGGAAGAUACUAUAGGGCUAGGAGGCGGGAGAGGCAAGCGGUACUCAGUGGGUAGGGGUAAAAUCCUCUGAUCCAUUGAAGACCACCAGUGGCGAAGGCGGCUUGCCAGAACGCGCUCGACGGUGAGGGAUGAUAGCUGGGGGAGCAAACCGG
RNAcentral lists this ribosomal RNA (253 nucleotides) under uncultured bacterium. RNAcentral's name for it is "partial 16S ribosomal RNA". It matches the Rfam family "Archaeal small subunit ribosomal RNA", at positions 474 to 727 of the family's 1478-position model. The record is from RNAcentral.